This 449-nucleotide ribosomal RNA is filed under the name uncultured bacterium. RNAcentral describes it as "partial 16S ribosomal RNA". It matches the Rfam family "Bacterial small subunit ribosomal RNA", at positions 29 to 523 of the family's 1533-position model. The record is from RNAcentral.
AACGAACGCUGGCGGCAUGCCUAACACAUGCAAGUCGAACGAGAUCUUCGGGUCUAGUGGCGCACGGGUGCGUAACGCGUGGGAAUCUGCCCUUUGGUUCGGAAUAACAGUUGGAAACGACUGCUAAUACCGGAUGAUGACGAAAGUCCAAAGAUUUAUCGCCAGAGGAUGAGCCCGCGUAGGAUUAGCUAGUUGGUGUGGUAAAGGCGCGCCAAGGCGACGAUCCUUAGCUGGUCUGAGAGGAUGAUCAGCCACACUGGGACUGAGACACGGCCCAGACUCCUACGGGAGGCAGCAGUGGGGAAUAUUGGACAAUGGGCGAAAGCCUGAUCCAGCAAUGCCGCGUGAGUGAUGAAGGCCUUAGGGUUGUAAGGCUCUUUUACCCGGGAUGAUAAUGACAGUACCGGGAGAAUAAGCUCCGGCUAACUCCGUGCCAGCAGCCGCCGUAA